RNAcentral lists this non-coding RNA (167 nucleotides) under Gasterosteus aculeatus (three-spined stickleback). Its description in RNAcentral is "Eukaryotic large subunit ribosomal RNA". It matches the Rfam family "Eukaryotic large subunit ribosomal RNA", at positions 2131 to 2281 of the family's 3401-position model. The record is from Rfam by way of RNAcentral. Lineage: Eukaryota; Metazoa; Chordata; Actinopteri; Perciformes; Gasterosteidae.
AAUCUGACUGUUUAAUUAAAACAAAGCAUUGCGAGGGCCCGCGGUGGGUGUUGACUCAAUGUGAUUUCUGCCCAGUGCUCUGAAUGUCAAAGUGAAGAAAUUCAAUGUAAACGGCGGGAGUAACUAUGACUCUCUCAUAUAGAGGUCUCAGGAGGAGACACAGGGUU